AGAGUUUGAUCCUGGCUCAGAUUGAACGCUGGCGGCAGGCCUAACACAUGCAAGUCGAACGGUAGCACAGAGAGCUUGCUCUUGGGUGACGAGUGGCGGACGGGUGAGUAAUGUCUGGGAAACUGCCUGAUGGAGGGGGAUAACUACUGGAAACGGUAGCUAAUACCGCAUAACGUCGCAAGACCAAAGAGGGGGACCUUCGGGCCUCUUGCCAUCGGAUGUGCCCAGAUGGGAUUAGCUAGUAGGUGGGGUAACGGCUCACCUAGGCGACGAUCCCUAGCUGGUCUGAGAGGAUGACCAGCCACACUGGAACUGAGACACGGUCCAGACUCCUACGGGAGGCAGCAGUGGGGAAUAUUGCACAAUGGGCGCAAGCCUGAUGCAGCCAUGCCGCGUGUAUGAAGAAUGCCUUCGGGUUGCAAAGUACUUUCAGCGAGGAGGAAGGUGUUGAGGUUAAUAACCUCAGCAAUUGACGUUACUCGCAGAAGAAGCACCGGCUAACUCCGUGCCAGCAGCCGCGGUAAUACGGAGGGUGCAAGCGUUAAUCGGAAUUACUGGGCGUAAAGCGCACGCAGGCGGUUUGUUAAGUCAGAUGUGAAAUCCCCGGGCUCAACCUGGGAACUGCAUUUGAAACUGGCAAGCUUGAGUCUCGUAGAGGGGGGUAGAAUUCCAGGUGUAGCGGUGAAAUGCGUAGAGAUCUGGAGGAAUACCGGUGGCGAAGGCGGCCCCCUGGACGAAGACUGACGCUCAGGUGCGAAAGCGUGGGGAGCAAACAGGAUUAGAUACCCUGGUAGUCCACGCUGUAAACGAUGUCGACUUGGAGGUUGUGCCCUUGAGGCGUGGCUUCCGGAGCUAACGCGUUAAGUCGACCGCCUGGGGAGUACGGCCGCAAGGUUAAAACUCAAAUGAAUUGACGGGGGCCCGCACAAGCGGUGGAGCAUGUGGUUUAAUUCGAUGCAACGCGAAGAACCUUACCUACUCUUGACAUCCAGAGAACUUAGCAGAGAUGCUUUGGUGCCUUCGGGAACUCUGAGACAGGUGCUGCAUGGCUGUCGUCAGCUCGUGUUGUGAAAUGUUGGGUUAAGUCCCGCAACGAGCGCAACCCUUAUCCUCUGUUGCCAGCGGUUCGGCCGGGAACUCAAAGGAGACUGCCAGUGAUAAACUGGAGGAAGGUGGGGAUGGCGUCAAGUCAUCAUGGCCCUUACGAGUAGGGCUACACACGUGCUACAAUGGCAUAUACAAAGAGAAGCGACCUCGCGAGAGCAAGCGGACCUCAUAAAGUAUGUCGUAGUCCGGAUUGGAGUCUGCAACUCGACUCCAUGAAGUCGGAAUCGCUAGUAAUCGUAGAUCAGAAUGCUACGGUGAAUACGUUCCCGGGCCUUGUACACACCGCCCGUCACACCAUGGGAGUGGGUUGCAAAAGAAGUAGGUAGCUUAACCUUCGGGAGGGCGCUUACCACUUUGUGAUUCAUGACUGGGGUGAAGUCGUAACAAGGUAACCGUA
This 1504-nucleotide ribosomal RNA is filed under the name uncultured bacterium. RNAcentral's name for it is "bacterial SSU rRNA". It matches the Rfam family "Bacterial small subunit ribosomal RNA". The record is from RNAcentral.